ACGAACGCUGGCGGCAGGCUUAACACAUGCAAGUCGAACGCCCCGCAAGGGGAGUGGCAGACGGGUGAGUAACACGUGGGAACGUGCCCUAAGGUUUGGAAUAUUCCCGGGAAACUGGGAGCAAUACCAAAUGUGUCCGCAAGGAGAAAGAUUUAUCGCCUUAUGAUCGGCCCGCGUCAGAUUAGCUAGUUGGUGGGGUAAAAGCCUACCAAGGCGACGAUCUGUAGCUGGUCUGAGAGGACGACCAGCCACACUGGGACUGAGACACGGCCCAGACUCCUACGGGAGGCAGCAGUGGGGAAUCUUGGACAAUGGGCGAAAGCCUGAUCCAGCCAUGCCGCGUGGAUGAUGAAGGCCUUAGGGUUGUAAAAUCCUUUCGUUGGGGACGAUAAUGACGGUACCCAAAGAAGAAGCUCCGGCUAACUUCGU
This 429-nucleotide ribosomal RNA is filed under the name uncultured bacterium. RNAcentral's name for it is "bacterial SSU rRNA". It matches the Rfam family "Bacterial small subunit ribosomal RNA", at positions 29 to 506 of the family's 1533-position model. The record is from RNAcentral.